RNAcentral lists this long non-coding RNA (1414 nucleotides) under Daucus carota (carrot). Its description in RNAcentral is "long non-coding RNA (DCAR_LNC001155)". Lineage: Eukaryota; Viridiplantae; Streptophyta; Magnoliopsida; Apiales; Apiaceae. The record is from RNAcentral.
AUCUCUUACUUGGAAAAAUUUUCCAAGGCAAAAAGCAAAAGCUACCCCGGUUCAAUUUUGAGAACCCGAGUACCCCGGUUCAAUCAUGAGCUAUCUUACUUGGAAAAAAUUUUCUAAGGCAAACAAACAAAAAGCUACCCCGGUCCAGUUAUGACCUAUCUCUUACUUAGAAAAAUUUUUCGAAAAAUUUUUGAAGGCAAAAAAGCAAAAGCUACCCCGGUCCAGUUAUGACCUAUCUCUUACUUAGAAAAAUUUUUCGAAAAUUUUUUUAAGGCAAACAAACAAAAAGCUACCCCGGUCCAGUUAUGACAUAUCUCUUACUUGGAAUUUUUUUUUUCCAAGGCAAACAAACAAAAAGCUACCCCGGUCCAGUUAUGACAUAUCUCUUACUUGGAAUUUUUUUUUUCCAAGGCAAACAAACAAAAAGCUACCCCGGUCCAGUUAUGACAUAUCUCUUACUUGGAAUUUUUUUUUUCCAAGGCAAACAAACAAAAAGCUACCCGGGUUCAAUCAUGAUCUAUCUCUUACUUGGAAAAAUUUUCCAAGGCAAAAAACAAAAGCUACCCCGGUUCAAUUUUGAGAACCCGAGUACCCCGGUUCAAUCAUGAGCUAUCUUACUUGGAAAAAAUUUUUUCCAAGGCAAACAAACAAAAAGCUACCCGGGUUCAAUCAUGCUCUAUCUCUUACUUGGAAAAAUUAUUUUCCAAGGCAAACAAACAAAAAGCUACCCGGGUUUAAUCAUGACCUAUCUCUUACUUAGAAAAAAUUUUCGAAAAAUUUUUGAAGGCAAAAAAGCAAAAGCUACCCCGGUCCAGUUAUGACCUAUCUCUUACUUAUAAAAAUUUUUCGAAAAUUUUUCUAAGGCAAACAAACAAAAAGCUACCCCAGUCCAGUUAUGACAUAUCUCUUACUUGGAAAAAUUAUUUUCCAAGGCAAACAAACAAAAAGCUACCCGGGUUCAAUCAUGAUCUAUCUCUUACUUGGAAAAAUUUUCCAAGGCAAAAAGCAAAAGCUACCCCGGUUCAAUUUUGAGAACCCGAGUACCCCGGUUCAAUCAUGAGUUAUCUUACUUGGAAAAAUUUUUCUAAGGCAAACAAACAAAAAGCUACCCCGGUCCAGUUAUGACCUAUCUCUUACUUGGAAAAAAUUUCCAAGGCAAAAAACAAAAGCUACCCCGGUUCAAUUUUGAGAACCCGAGUACCCCGGUUCAAUCAUGAGUUAUCUUACUUGGAAAAAUUUUUCUAAGGCAAACAAACAAAAAGCUACCCCGGUCCAAUUAUGACCUAUCUCUUACUUAGAAAAAUUUUCUAAGGUAAAAAAGCAAAAGCUACCCCGGUUCAAUUUUGAGUACCCCGGUUCAAUCAUGAGCUAUCUUACUUGGAAAAAUUUUUCUAAGGCAAAAAAAAUAAAAAAA